RNAcentral lists this ribosomal RNA (497 nucleotides) under uncultured bacterium. RNAcentral's name for it is "partial 16S ribosomal RNA". It matches the Rfam family "Bacterial small subunit ribosomal RNA", at positions 28 to 507 of the family's 1533-position model. The record is from RNAcentral.
GACGAACGCUGGCGGCGUGCCUAAUACAUGCAAGUAGAACGCUGAAGAGAGGAGCUUGCUCUUCUUGGAUGAGUUGCGAACGGGUGAGUAACGCGUAGGUAACCUGCCUGGUAGCGGGGGAUAACUAUUGGAAACGAUAGCUAAUACCGCAUAAAAUGGAUUAUCGCAUGAUAAUCCAUUGAAAGGUGCAAAUGCAUCACUACCAGAUGGAUCUGCGUUGUAUUAGCUAGUUGGUGGGGUAACGGCUCACCAAGGCGACGAUACAUAGCCGACCUGAGAGGGUGAUCGGCCACACUGGGACGGAGACACGGCCCAGACUCCUACGGGAGGCAGCAGUAGGGAAGCUACGGCUAUGGACGGAAGUCUGACCGAGCAACGCCGCGAGAGUGAAGAAGGGUUUCGGAUCGUAAAGCUCUGUUGUAAGAGAAGAACGAGUGUGAGAGUGGAAAGUUCACACUGUGACGGUAACUUACCAGAAAGGGACGGCUAACUACGUG